AAGGAUCAUUACUGUGAUUUAUAUCUUUCUACACAUGCGUGAGCGCAACAAACACCUAAACAUAUGUAACGGAUUAGUCAAACACAACACAAGAAAUCGAAAACUUUCAACAACGGAUCUCUUGGUUCUCGCAUCGAUGAAGAGCGCAGCGAAAUGCGAUACCUAGUGUGAAUUGCAGCCAUCGUGAAUCAUCGAGUUCUUGAACGCACAUUGCGCCCCUUGGCAUUCCAGGGGGCAUGCCUGUUUGAGCGUCGUUUCCUUCUUGCGCAAGCAGAGAUGGUGGGGGGCGUUUAUAUAUGCCGCCCGCUGAAAAGGAGCGAUUGCGGACCGAGCGAACUAAAGUAGUUGCGCGCGGCCGCCGAACUUUUAGACAUACUAACUAAGCUCGACCUCAAAUCAGGUAGGAAUACCCGCUGAACUUAA
RNAcentral lists this ribosomal RNA (423 nucleotides) under Pichia sp. NYNU 14770. RNAcentral's name for it is "eukaryotic LSU rRNA". The stretch from base 102 to 254 matches the Rfam family "5.8S ribosomal RNA". The record is from RNAcentral. Lineage: Eukaryota; Fungi; Ascomycota; Pichiomycetes; Pichiales; Pichiaceae.